This 463-nucleotide long non-coding RNA is filed under the name Cyanistes caeruleus (blue tit). Its description in RNAcentral is "lncRNA (ENSCCEG00000002938.1)". The record is from RNAcentral. Lineage: Eukaryota; Metazoa; Chordata; Aves; Passeriformes; Paridae.
GGAAUUUCAGAGGAGAAUAUAAGAAUCUGAAUACAGUAACUUUUUCUUCAGCAGUAAGGAGGACUGAAGAAAAGGAAGACUGAAGUGCUAGGAGAGGAAAGGAGAAAGAAGACAAGACUGAAAAGGGGUGAUCUGCUGAGGGAUGUUUAAGAACUAGUGGUUGUGACUCUUAAUUUCACUGUGCUUAAGAAGAAUCCCUUGUAGAGUCUGAAUCCUCCUGUCCAAUCCUUCACAAUUUUGCAAGGAUAACAUUUUGGACACGAAACCAAUCCAAAUAUGUGUGAUUGAAGAAAACUCUUCUAACACAUGUGACUCAAGACAGCUGUUUUUCCUGAACAGGUAUAUUUUUUCCACUGAAAAUUUGUUUUCUUAUUGAUCAUAUUAAACAGCAUAUAAGAUUCACUUGCAGUUCAUGAUCUUACUCAAAUCACAUAGCUCUGCAUGUAAAUUUCUUUUUCUUUUC